Otolemur garnettii (small-eared galago) is the source of this 63-nucleotide small nuclear RNA. Its record names the gene U7. It matches the Rfam family "U7 small nuclear RNA". From Rfam's summary of the family: Animal histone pre-mRNAs are spliced by a different mechanism than nuclear pre-mRNAs and self-splicing introns. This processing involves the U7 snRNP, which contains only one RNA species: U7. NCBI's taxonomy places the organism in Eukaryota, Metazoa, Chordata, Mammalia, Primates, Galagidae. The record is from Ensembl.
CAAUCCUUAUAGUGCUUUUAGAAUUUGUCUAGCAGGUUUUCCAGUGUCUACUGGAAGACUAAU